AUGAAAUUUCUAAUAUUGUCUAACAUUGUAUUUGAACUAUAACUUUCUGGACUAUCAAAGUUCUUUCUGCUUUUCCCUCCAUUCAUUCUUGAAUUUAUUUGUUCGUUAAAUUGUCUGUAACAGAAAUCUCAUCCAGAAUCUCAUCUCAGGGUUCCUGCAAUAAGCACAUGCUCUUGAAGAUAUGGAACUCACACCUAAGUUUCUAGGCUCAAAUGUCAUUCAACCUCAAAAUUACAAACCUGCUUCAGUUGAUGGCAAGUGUUUGUAACACCCCAAAUUUAAGGUAGUUGAAGAAUUCACGGACCAUAGUAUCGAUCAAGUUCUCAUUUAUGCGUCAGUUUGAUUAGAUUAGGUCACACAUACAUGUAAUAUUACAGUAAAUUUAUCUUUUGGAUUAUUGUAAAAUCUUUA
Cucumis melo (muskmelon) is the source of this 411-nucleotide long non-coding RNA. RefSeq lists it as uncharacterized. Lineage: Eukaryota; Viridiplantae; Streptophyta; Magnoliopsida; Cucurbitales; Cucurbitaceae. The transcript is spliced from 3 exons. The record is from RefSeq and is a predicted model, not a curated record.